UACACAAGGUAGGCAAGUCUGAACCGUGUUUCAGCAUCUCUGGAUUUUCCCCAGCAAUAAUCUAAACUGCAGAAUCAAAUGAAAACUACAAAAUCUAAUGAAAAUGUUUCAUCUUUAUGCUUACUGGUAUUGAUGGAAAGCAUGCUUCCUCAUCUUCAAUCCCUUUUGAUCCUUUUACAUCACCCCCAGGUACGAAAAUUAGAUAAAGUGAUGGAUAGAAUCUGAAAAUAUGAACUUGGUAAGAGAGAUAAGGGGCUUCCGCUUCUUAUUCCUCUUCAACAACACCAAGUACGAAUUAGAUAAUCGAUUUCAUCUUUAAUCAUUAAUAAAAAAAAUUAUUAUAACAGAGACACACUCAAAUCCUCAGCAGAAUUAAUAAUUUAUAACGAAAAUAAGCUAAUCACCAUUCAUGGAAGUGGCGGCAACAAUUUGGACCAGGACCACCAUCACGCAAUCUAAAAAAGAAAAAGGUAAGGAAUGAGGAGAGGUUUUUUUUUUAACUAAUACAAUAGAAACAUAAUAGACAACUGUUGAUAGUGCAACAGGGUUAAUUGUGUAAAUAUUAUAGAAAAUAUAGUCAGUAUAAGGUUUUAAUGGUUACUAUGGUUACACAGUUAAUUAUUAAAUUUUUUUGGGUUAUACAGUGCAAUUCCCCAUCCUCUUAAACUAUUUGUCUAAUUCGAUAUAUAUAAAAAAUAUCUAGCAUAAAAAGUCUUUUUUCUCCCAGAUACGAUUAUCAAGAAACCUUUCCCAACCAAGCUUUUCGGCGCCGGCGAGGUCCUUGCCCACCGGCGUCGGGAUCUAAUCGACCAAUUUCUUGCUCAGCUCUUCUCUAUCUUUUUUAGUGUAGCCUUUUUUUAAGUUUUCCCCCAAUUUGUUCUCUUCUCUAACCCUUCUCAAACCCUGAUAAAACCUGUCUCGAAUUACACCAACGAAAAGCGUAUAUCCCGCAGAUCUGUCACUCACCAGAAAAAAUCUCUUCACAAAUUUCGGGCACCAAACAUUCUCAUUCCUCACCUUGGUUUUUUCAAGAGAAACUAGGAUUUUCCCCAGUGGACCUAGAUUCCAUCGCCAAUCUAAACCGAGGUCACCGACUGUUCCUGUCGAUCUUUAAAUCACCGAAGAUGCGCUUUGCAGCACAAACCUCUCCGCUCCUCUCGGGCAGCCGUCACAAUUUUGCUUCAGCUUGGAAAUCGUUUGUAAAGCUAGGAUUUUCUCCAGUGGACCUAGCUACCAAUGGCGACUCUUACCACGGCUACCGCAUGGUGCCACUGAUCUCUCACUCACCGGAGAAGUCUGCUACACCGCAGAUCUCUCUGCAGUUCUCGGGCGGCGACCAAUCUCGACAAACUUUGCGGCUCUUCCUUCUGAAACAAGAGUUUUCCCUAGUGGACCUAGUUUUCAGCUUAGGCCCAUUAAGUCAAAAAAGCCUUGAGUCCAUCAAAUCCUAUCAUAUAUGCAACAAUAGCAAGUUAAACCCCAAUUCCUCACCGUCUAUGACUCGCCAUUGCCAAGAUCUGUCCGGUUUCCCGAUAACCAAUGGUCGAAGACUCCAUUGGCGAAAGUUAACUUCUCAUGAGCGCUAAUGUUGGAAUGGAAGAAGAAACAUAAGAUAUGAUGAAUCAAUUCUUAACGAGAAGGGACAACCGUUCCGAGGAAAAGAAAAACCUCUCUUCUCUCUCCUCUUCUUUAAGCUUCGUUUCAGAUUUCCGGAGGCCUUGAUCUUCAUUCCCUCAGAUUGCUAGGUGUUUGUAGAGGGUGUGGUUUUCUCCUUUCUCGACGUAGAUGCAGAACCGGCGUGGCGGCAGGAGAGCGCCGCUACAGACCCUCUGGUUUGAAGACGCUGCCGAGUGGUGUAGCUGUCAACUCUCGUGGCUCACCCGUCGUGUCGGAAAUAGAUCUACGGCGGAAGUAGAUGGAGGGGAAGGAGGGUUGCUGAUUUGCCUUGAAGGUUAACGGUGGUUCCUUUUGGAUCUCGCCGGCUGCCGCGGAUUCAGAGUGCCUAGGGUUUCCGAUUGAGCCAUCGGUCCUAACCACCGCCGCGUCUUACUUCCUUCUUGGCCGGUUCGAAGGGAUCUAGUUCGGCGAGUUGAGGACCCGCUAGAUCUGGGAAGGAGAGGUUACGCCCGAAGUUGGUGGCUUGCUUGGUCUAGGAGCUGUCAACGGCGUGCUGCGACGUUGGAGGUUGAUUAUUACUCUUUUUAUUAAUUAAAAAAAUUCAAAACAUAAAAUAAAAUUAUUUUUUGUCUAGUGUGGAAUUGUAAAUACCGCUGGAUAAUAGCUAUCUUCAAAAACA
Molecule: long non-coding RNA, 2296 nt
Organism: Camelina sativa (false flax)
Lineage: Eukaryota; Viridiplantae; Streptophyta; Magnoliopsida; Brassicales; Brassicaceae
Source: RefSeq, a predicted model, not a curated record